AGUAGGGGAUAACUCUGAGAAAUCGGAGCUAAUACCUUAUGUGGUGGUGGAGGUAAGGCUCCAUUACUAAAGCCUUCGGGCGCUUGGGGAUGGGCUUGCGUCCUAUCAGCUAGUUGGUAGGGUAACGGCUUACCAAGGCGACGACGGGUAGCUGGUCUGAGAGGACGGCCAGCCACACGGGGACUGAGACACGGUCCCGACUCCUACGGGAGGCAGCGGCAAGGAAUAUUGUGCAAUGGGCGAAAGCCUGACACAGCGACGCCGCGUGGGGGAAGAAGGCCUUCGGGUUGUAAACCCCUUUUCUCAGGGAAGAUAAUGACGGUACCUGAGGAAUAAGUCACGGCUAACUACGUGCCAGCAGCCGCGGUAAUACGUAGGUGGCGAGCGUUAUCCGGAUUUACUGGGCGUAAAGAGUGCGUAGGCGGUCCAGUAAGUCGGAUGUGAAAUCUCCCGGCUUAACCGGGAGGGGUCAUCCGAUACUGUUGGACUAGAGGACAGCAAGGGGAAGUGGAAUUCCCGGUGUAGUGGUGAAAUGCGUAGAUAUCGGGAGGAACACCAGUGGCGAAGGCGGCUUCCUGGGCUGUUUCUGACGCUGAGGCUCGAAAGUGUGGGGAGCGAACAGGAUUAGAUACCCUGGUAGUCCACACUGUAAACGAUGGACACUAGGUAUGGGGAGUAUCGACCCUCUCUGUGCCGAAGCUAACGCUUUAAGUGUCCCGCCUGGGGACUACGGCCGCAAGGCUAAAACUCAAAGGAAUUGACGGGGGCCCGCACAAGCAGCGGAGCGUGU
This 790-nucleotide ribosomal RNA is filed under the name uncultured bacterium. RNAcentral describes it as "bacterial SSU rRNA". It matches the Rfam family "Bacterial small subunit ribosomal RNA", at positions 135 to 942 of the family's 1533-position model. The record is from RNAcentral.